This 78-nucleotide transfer RNA is filed under the name Enterococcus faecium PC4.1. RNAcentral describes it as "tRNA-Thr". It matches the Rfam family "tRNA". Rfam says of the family: Transfer RNA (tRNA) molecules are approximately 80 nucleotides in length. Their secondary structure includes four short double-helical elements and three loops (D, anti-codon, and T loops). Lineage: Bacteria; Bacillati; Bacillota; Bacilli; Lactobacillales; Enterococcaceae. The record is from RNAcentral.
UGCCGGCUUAGCUCAGUUGGUAGAGCAUCUGAUUUGUAAUCAGAGGGUCGAGGGUUCAAGUCCUUUAGCCGGCAUCUU